Molecule: long non-coding RNA, 907 nt
Organism: Papaver somniferum (opium poppy)
Lineage: Eukaryota; Viridiplantae; Streptophyta; Magnoliopsida; Ranunculales; Papaveraceae
Exons: 5
Source: RefSeq, a predicted model, not a curated record
ACAAAAAUACACACCAGCCUCGGAAUUUCAGAACUGUUAUCUUUAUUUCACAACCAUGUUUGAUUAUUUUUCUCCUCUCAAAUUGAUUCUUCGCAAUCACAAACCCAACAGAACAACCUCAGUAGCACGACGUCUAUUAUUGUUCUCCUUCAACAAUCAGCAAUCACCGUAAACAGGUCAGACAAUUUUGGAUUCGCAUGUAAUUUUUGGCGCUGGAAUUACAUAUUAUUUAUAGUUCAUAACUCCAGGUUUUUAGUUGAGCUAAAGGAAGGAUUCAUCAAAAUGCUAAGUUCAUCAUAUCCAGAUAAUUAAUCAAGCCUCGCAAGUUGGUUGAAAUUCUGAGACAGGGCUGACCACAAGUGGGAAGAUCCAGAAUGUGUUGGCGGCCACAAAUGAUCUGUAAUCUGUAUCAAACAAAAGGAGCUACCCCGAGUAGGUAAGGUUUUGACUAUUAGAAAUCACUGCCCUAUUAAAAAACGACCACAAGUCUCUUUAAAUAGCAUUUCAAAGUUCCAAAGAGUAAUUGCUUAAGAGUUUCCAGAUAAAGACAAGGAUCAUGUAUGCUAAAUCAUCGUGUCCAUAAGGCUGCAUGGAAUCCCUACGAUCAUGAAUGAGUUAACAUGUUUAGAUACUCCUUGGUUUGUAUAAGAUUCAAUACCCUUCCGAUGUCUCAAGUUCAGGCAUACAUUUUUUCUUAUUCAAGUUUUCUUCUUUAGGAGUGUUGUUAUUCAGCUUCUUAAAAUACAGGUAGUUUGGUACCAUAAAUGCUCCGAUUAAUUUGCUGUAUUUGUAUAGUAUAAUAAGAUAUUUGAUAAACGUACUGUACAUGCUUUGCAGAGUAGGUCCUUGCAUAUAAAAAAUUUAGUAGAAAAUGAGAUUUAGAAUACAGCCUAUAUGGACGCCAAAA